Molecule: ribosomal RNA, 484 nt
Filed under: uncultured bacterium
Lineage: Bacteria
Description: partial 16S ribosomal RNA
Rfam family: Bacterial small subunit ribosomal RNA
Source: RNAcentral
AUUGAACGCUGGCGGAAUGCUUUACACAUGCAAGUCGAGCGGCAGCACGGGGGCAACCCUGGUGGCGAGCGGCGAACGGGUGAGUAACACAUCGGAACAUGCCCAGUCGUGGGGGAUAACACUUCGAAAGAAGUGCUAAUACCGCAUACGUCCUGAGGGAGAAAGCGGGGGAUCGCAAGACCUCGCGCGAUUGGAGUGGCCGAUGUCAGAUUAGCUAGUUGGUGGGGUAAAGGCCUACCAAGGCAACGAUCUGUAGCUGGUCUGAGAGGAUGAUCAGCCACACUGGGACUGAGACACGGCCCAGACUCCUACGGGAGGCAGCAGUGGGGAAUUCUGGACAAUGGGGGCAACCCUGAUCCAGCCAUUCCGCGUGAGUGAAGAAGGCCUUCGGGUUGUAAAGCUCUUUCGGCAGGAACGAAACGGUGAGCUCUAACAUAGCUUGCUAAUGACGGUACCUGAAAAAGAAGCACCGGCUAACUACGUG